GACGAACGCUGGCGGUGUGCUUAACACAUGCAAGUGGAGCGACGAACCAGGGCUUGCCCUGGGGCAGAGCCGCGAACGGGUGAGUAACACGUGGGUAACCUACCCCGAUGACCGGGACAACCCGAGGAAACUCGGGCUAAUACCGGAUAUGUUCGAUGUCCAUGAGGACGUCGUGCAAAGGAAGCUUCGGCCUCCGCAUUGGGAGGGGCCCGCGGCCCAUUAGCUUGUUGGUGGGGUAACGGCCUACCAAGGCUGCGAUGGGUAGCUGGUCUGAGAGGACGAUCAGCCACACUGGGACUGAGACACGGCCCAGACUCCUACGGGAGGCAGCAGUGGGGAAUCUUGCGCAAUGCGCGAAAGCGUGACGCAGCAACACCGCGUGAGGGAAGACGGCCUCGGUU
RNAcentral lists this ribosomal RNA (401 nucleotides) under uncultured bacterium. Its description in RNAcentral is "bacterial SSU rRNA". It matches the Rfam family "Bacterial small subunit ribosomal RNA", at positions 28 to 424 of the family's 1533-position model. The record is from RNAcentral.